Molecule: ribosomal RNA, 497 nt
Filed under: uncultured bacterium
Lineage: Bacteria
Description: partial 16S ribosomal RNA
Rfam family: Bacterial small subunit ribosomal RNA
Source: RNAcentral
GAUGAACGCUGGCGGCGUGCCUAAUACAUGCAAGUCGAGCGAACGGACGAGAAGCUUGCUUCUCUGAUGUUAGCGGCGGACGGGUGAGUAACACGUGGAUAACCUACCUAUAAGACUGGGAUAACUUCGGGAAACCGGAGCUAAUACCGGAUAAUAUUUUGAACCGCAUGGUUCAAAAGUGAAAGACGGUCUUGCUGUCACUUAUAGAUGGAUCCGCGCUGCAUUAGCUAGUUGGUAAGGUAACGGCUUACCAAGGCAACGAUGCAUAGCCGACCUGAGAGGGUGAUCGGCCACACUGGAACUGAGACACGGUCCAGACUCCUACGGGAGGCAGCAGUAGGGAAUCUUCCGCAAUGGGCGAAAGCCUGACGGAGCAACGCCGCGUGAGUGAUGAAGGUCUUCGGAUCGUAAAAGUCUGUUAUUAGGGAAGAACAUAUGUGUAAGUAACUGUGCACAUCUUGACGGUACCUAAUCAGAAAGCCACGGCUAACUACGUG